Gossypium hirsutum (cotton) is the source of this 131-nucleotide non-coding RNA. The record is from Rfam. Lineage: Eukaryota; Viridiplantae; Streptophyta; Magnoliopsida; Malvales; Malvaceae.
UAAUGAAAAUUUAUUUCAUUUCUACUAUUAAAAAUUAGUGUAGCUAAUGGAAUAACCAAAUAAUCCACGUGUAUCUCAUGCUGACGUAAGGGACCAGUUUUUAAUAAUAGAAAUGGAUAAAAUUUUUAACA